This 89-nucleotide ribosomal RNA is filed under the name uncultured bacterium. Its description in RNAcentral is "partial 16S ribosomal RNA". The record is from RNAcentral.
UGUAAACCACUGUUAGGAUUAUGAAAGCGUAAGGACCUAAUACGUCCUGAGUUGAUCUGAUCCAGAGAAAGGGACGGCUAACUCUGUGC